GAACGCUGGCGGCGUGCCUAACACAUGCAAGUCGAACGAGAAACCCCGACUUCGGUUGGGGGAGUAAAGUGGCGCACGGGUGAGUAACGCGUGGGCAACCUACCCCUAAAUCUGGGAUAACUUCGCGAAAGCGUUGCUAAUACCGGAUGUUGUUCCUAGAGUUGUGGCUCAAGGAAUUAAAGGUGACCUCUUCAUGAAAGUUGCCGUUUAGGGAUGGGCCCGCGUACCAUUAGCUUGUUGGUGAGGUAACGGCUCACCAAGCUACGAUGAUUAGCUGGUCUGAGAGGAUGAUCAGCCACACUGGAACUGGAACACGGUCCAGACUCCUACGGGAGGCAGCAGUGAGGAAUUUUGCGCAAUGGGGGAAACCCUGACGCAGCAACGCCGCGUGAGUGAAGAAGGCUUUCGAGUCGUAAAGCUCUGUCAAGUGGGAAAAAACGUCUUCGAUUAAUAGUCGGAGAAAUUGAUGGUACCACUGGAGGAAGCACCGGCUAACUCCGUGCCAGCAGCCGCGGUAAUACGGAGGGUGCGAGCGUUGUUCGGAAUUACUGGGCGUAAAGAGCGUGUAGGCGGGUCGGUAAGUCAGAUGUGAAAGCCCUGGGCUCAACCCGGGAAGUGCAUUUGAAACUGCCAGCCUGGAGUAUGGGAGAGGAGAGUGGAACUCCGAGUGUAGAGGUGAAAUUCGUAGAUAUUCGGAGGAACACCCGUGGCGAAGGCGACUCUCUGGACCAAUACUGACGCUGAGACGCGAAAGCGUGGGGAGCAAACAGGAUUAGAUACCCUGGUAGUCCACGCCGUAAACGAUGAGAACUAGGUGUAGCGGGUAUUGACCCCUGCUGUGCCGAAGCUAACGCAUUAAGUUCUCCGCCUGGGGAGUACGGCCGCAAGGCUAAAACUCAAAGGAAUUGACGGGGGCCCGCACAAGCGGUGGAGCAUGUGGUUUAAUUCGACGCAACGCGAAGAACCUUACCUGAGUUUGACAUCCUUUGACCGCCUAGGAAACUAGGCUUUCCCGAUUCUGUCGGGACAGAGUGACGGGUGCUGCAUGGCUGUCGUCAGCUCGUGUCGUGAGAUGUUGGGUUAAGUCCCGCAACGAGCGUAACCCUUGUCUUUAGUUGCCAGUAUUAAGUUAGGCACUCUAAAGAGACUGCCUCGGUUAACGGGGAGGAAGGUGGGGAUGACGUCAAGUCCUCAUGGCCUUUAUACCCAGGGCUACACACGUGCUACAAUGGGCUGUACAAAGGGUUGCUAACCCGCGAGGGUACGCUAAUCCCAAAAAGCAGUUCUCAGUUCGGAUUGGAGUCUGCAACUCGACUUCAUGAAGUUGGAAUCGCUAGUAAUCGUGGAUCAGCAUGCCACGGUGAAUACGUUCCCGGGCCUUGUACAC
This 1387-nucleotide ribosomal RNA is filed under the name metagenome. Its description in RNAcentral is "bacterial SSU rRNA". It matches the Rfam family "Bacterial small subunit ribosomal RNA", at positions 31 to 1388 of the family's 1533-position model. The record is from RNAcentral.